GCCAAUGAGGCCUGCCGCGUCCGUACUUCCAUCGGCACCAAACCGUCAAAAAGAAGCUAACAAGAUGUACAUUAAAGCAAUAGAAGAACUCAAGCACGAACGACCACUGCAUAUAACUUUACAGGAUGGUGACCAAGGGGAGCCUUCACGUGCUGACAUGAAAAACAUACUUGGAAAAGAUGAGUUCUUCACAAUGGAGUACAUCAAAGAAGAGACAAGUGACAGCUAUCAUUUCUGCUGAGUACUUUUAAAAAGGCAAUAAGUAGUUACCAAUUCAAUCAUCAGCUUAUUGUACUCUCCCAGUCUCCGGCAGCCAUCAAGAACUUCAGUGUUGGCUGCCUCCAUAGCGCCUUCUCCAAGCUCAAUCUGGACACGCUCCGCUGGAGGAUCUUCCAUAGUGUUUCUGUACGAGAGAACAUUCUUCCUAUGUGAAGCCGAUGCUUCUACUAAGCCAUCUUCUGUAGUUGUGCUUUACCGCAACAAAGAAAAUACCGGGAUGUAGCAUUACAUGCUUAUUUCAAAAUACAUGUACAUGAUGCACUCUUUUAUCAUCAAAGAUUGUAAAAGUCACUCAAAAAAAGUUAGUUGUUUAUAUAUGAUAUUUGUUCGGUUGUGAAUUUGUGA
This is a long non-coding RNA of Lolium rigidum, 624 nucleotides long. RefSeq lists it as uncharacterized. NCBI's taxonomy places the organism in Eukaryota, Viridiplantae, Streptophyta, Magnoliopsida, Poales, Poaceae. The transcript has 3 exons. The record is from RefSeq and is a predicted model, not a curated record.